CAUUUCCAUUCCUUAUAUGCAAAUGAACGGGGCGUGGUUAGCUCACAGAUCCAGACCAAAGCAACAGCACCACAACACUGACUCAAUAGCUUUUGUUUCACACUCCAGUACUCUUAAGUGGUUUGCAAACUGCCAAUAAACCAAACCGGUUCAAGAACCAUUCUUGUGCUUUUCUGGUGCUUAACUGGUUCUUCUCUGGUCUUAUCUGGUCUUAUCUGGUCCGCCCAAUGCUGCUCUUCUGAGAGCAACCGCUCUGACAGCUCUCUCUAGUCUCUACUGGGAAACAGCUAAAAGUCCUUCUGGAGGCUUUGCAUUUGAACUCCUAUGACUGGUUGCGGACUUGAAGGGAACGUCUUCCUGACAUCCAGGAAAAAGUUUUAUUGGACAGAGGCAGUAGAUAUCUACUGGAAACAGUGGAGAGGGAGGAGAUGAUAUGCAGCAUACGGCCCAGCCGGAUGGUUGCUGCUCCGUGUGGAACGUGUUCUAUCAGGUGUAACAUCUACCAAUGGUUGUACAUGACAGAGACCUCCUCCACCUCUUUGCUGUCUUACUAGUCAAUCCUUCUGAUCAGGUCCUUUCCUAAAUAGUG
Gymnodraco acuticeps is the source of this 589-nucleotide long non-coding RNA. RefSeq lists it as uncharacterized. NCBI's taxonomy places the organism in Eukaryota, Metazoa, Chordata, Actinopteri, Perciformes, Bathydraconidae. The transcript is spliced from 4 exons. The record is from RefSeq and is a predicted model, not a curated record.